CSMWUUCGCCCUUGAUUUGACGGUACCUAUAAAGGAAGCACCGGCUAACUCCGUGCCAGCAGCCGCGGUAAUACGGGGGGUGCAAGCGUUGUUCGGAAUUAUUGGGCGUAAAGCGCGUGUAGGCGGUCUGAUUAGUCUGAUGUGAAAGCCCUGGGCUCAACCCAGGAAGUGCAUUGGAUACUGUCAGACUUGAAUACGGGAGAGGGUAGUGGAAUUCCUAGUGUAGGAGUGAAAUCAGUAGAUAUUAGGAGGAACACCGGUGGCGAAGGCGGCUACCUGGACCGAUAUUGACGCUGAGACGCGAAAGCGUGGGUAGCAAACAGGAUUAGAUACCCUGGUAGUCCACGCCGUAAACGAUGAGAACUAGGUGUCGCGGGUA
RNAcentral lists this ribosomal RNA (379 nucleotides) under uncultured Geobacteraceae bacterium. RNAcentral describes it as "bacterial SSU rRNA". It matches the Rfam family "Bacterial small subunit ribosomal RNA", at positions 454 to 831 of the family's 1533-position model. Lineage: Bacteria; Pseudomonadati; Thermodesulfobacteriota; Desulfuromonadia; Geobacterales; Geobacteraceae. The record is from RNAcentral.